Molecule: long non-coding RNA, 1407 nt
Organism: Helianthus annuus (common sunflower)
Lineage: Eukaryota; Viridiplantae; Streptophyta; Magnoliopsida; Asterales; Asteraceae
Exons: 5
Source: RefSeq, a predicted model, not a curated record
GCAUGUUGUUGUUAUACUCUUGGCUUUGUUUGUGUAUCAUGCUUUUCUUAGUUGUAAGGUUAGCUUAGCAGGUUAUACAUUGUUUUGCCUCUUUGUCUACCGGCCCCUUUGAGCCACAUUUCCUUUCCAAACAUAGUAUUUACUCUAGGGUUUUGUAUAAGCAAGAGGAAGAGAAAGAAAUUACGGUAGAGAGAGGCAGGAAAGAGACACGGCGGCGGCGUUUAGGGUUCCGCCGCAAACACAACGACGGUGGCGACUGUCACGGUGACCUAGGGUUCUGACUUCGAUAGUAGGCGACGGUUUGUGAACUCUGGUGUUGAUGAAGAUGUCUUAGAAAGGUGGAUCGGUGUUAUGCAGUCAAACUCAGGGCAGAUUGGCGAUGGUAACGGGUGAUCCUCAGUCUUCCGGCGCAUUAGGCUAUAUUGCACCUUUUUUUUGCUCAGAAGAAUGCAAGAGGAUGUUGAGCUUUCUCUUCCUUGUAAUGGUUAUAUUAUUUAACCAUUAAUGGGUUAUUAAAUUGGGAUAUUACAUGAUAAAUAAUCUGUAGUAUAUAUUAAUUUGUAAGAUUAGUGUGCAUUAUGGUAUUGUACAUGAUGCUUAAGGGUUGUUUUGUGCUAAGUGUUGUUGUACACAAUGCUUGGUUGGUGACUGGUGUAAUCUUCAUAGUGCCACAUUUAUGCUCUAAUCUUCAUAUUAUGGUGGUGUUGUACGUAUACAACGUACCAAACCUGAAUAAUAUGUGUACAAUAGAGUAGGAGUGACAUUUGUCGUCCACCAAAAUAAAAAGCCACACCCAUCCCCAUUAUCAAUGUUCAUGCUUUCUCUCUCUUUGUCUAGAAUAUGCGAUACAGAGAGACGAGAGACGUUUGAGAGUAGGGGAGACGGUGGCACAACACUGAUAGGCCAUGAUAACGACAGAGAUGGUGUUACCCAGCGGCGAUGUUGGCGAUUUUCCAGCGACCAAGAUUCGAUGGGCUACGAACGGUGAGAUUUUUAGGCUUCCAACAACUUUCGACAACAUUGGGGCUUUUCCGAUGAUCUUUCGGUAAUUAAAGAUUAGAUCGCUGCUGCACCAUUUUCUGAGGAAAAACGAACCUGAUGCGUCAGAUUGAUCUAAAAGGGUGCUGAGAAAAAGAAUGCCGUUUUAGGAAUCAUUGGGAUUGGGUUAUGUGAACAUCAGUAUGGGGGAUGUUUGUGCACAACAGGAAAAUCAAUGAGACGUACUGUCUGGUUGAUUCGAGGAAUGGGAAAAUCCAGUUUGAGUUGCAUUGGAUGGCUGUAUCUUGAUGUACAUGUUAUGUCUUAAUUUGUAAGCCCCGGCCGCAUCGCGGCGGGAGCCUCCAUCUAGUUUUAGUUUAAUAUCUAAUAUUAUAGAUAACCCUUCUACUAAAUAUUAUUAGUUUAAUA